This 496-nucleotide ribosomal RNA is filed under the name uncultured bacterium. Its description in RNAcentral is "partial 16S ribosomal RNA". It matches the Rfam family "Bacterial small subunit ribosomal RNA", at positions 28 to 506 of the family's 1533-position model. The record is from RNAcentral.
GAUGAACGCUGGCGGCGUGCCUAAUACAUGCAAGUCGAGCGAACGGACGAGAAGCUUGCUUCUCUGAUGUUAGCGGCGGACGGGUGAGUAACACGUGGAUAACCUACCUAUAAGACUGGGAUAACUUCGGGAAACCGGAGCUAAUACCGGAUAAUAUUUUGAACCGCAUGGUUCAAAAGUGAAAGACGGUCUUGCUGUCACUUAUAGAUGGAUCCGCGCUGCAUUAGCUAGUUGGUAAGGUAACGGCUUACCAAGGCAACGAUGCAUAGCCGACCUGAGAGGGGGGUCGGCCCACCUGGAACGUAGACCCGGUCCAAGCCCCUCCGGGAGGCACCAGUAGGGAUUCUUCCGCAAUGGGCGAAAGCCUGACGGAGCAACCCCGGGUGAGUGAUGAAGGUCUUCGGUUUGUAAAACCCUUUUUUUAGGGAAGAACAUAUGUGAAAGUAACUGUGCCCAUCUUGACGGUACCUAAUCAGAAAGCCACGGCUAACUACGU